AAGAGGGAGAAAUCCUCCAUCCAUCUAAAUAGACAUACAUAAGAGAGAACAGAAGUUUCACUGGAAGACAGAGGGCUUUCCAUCUUGAACUUAAAUCCAUUUGGGGAAUGACUGAGCCAUUUCUACUCAUCUGAUCCAUCCUAACUGAGGUAUAUCCAGAGAGGAAGGACAAAGGGAGUGAGGGAUGAAAGAAGUGGAGCCAUCAACUACUGUAAGACCCGCGCAAGUUUACCUAGUCAGAAAAUAUUACUGCACCUGCCCUUCUGAGCUCCUCAGAUUAAGAAAACUGACUUGCAGGAAACUCUCACCUCACUCAUAGCAGAAGCCCUGAGAUCAGCUAUUGAAGAUAAAUGUGAAACGAGCAACUUCACAGUCCUGCAGACAACAGCUCCUGACCUGGAGUGCUGCUGGAUGGAAAGCAUCUGGCAAAUUUGGAAGUGCAGGACAGAAUUAGGAAGAUAACAGCAUGAAAAGGCUGGAGGAGGUGAAGGAGGGAACAAGGUUGAUAAGGAGGAAGGUGUACAGUCUGGAUGAGGUAGGGAGGCAGAGGACAGAGACAUAGGAAAAUGCGUUUGUGAGAUGCAGGCUCACAAAGGGGUUUCAUAAAGGGAAGGAGGAGCAGUGUACUCAGUGAUGGCAAGACAUGAAAUGUCAAGCUUGAACUGAAGGAAAUAAUGUUCUUCUAGAGUUUUUAUGAAUAAAGGCAGUACAAAUAACA
Molecule: long non-coding RNA, 718 nt
Filed under: Anser brachyrhynchus (Pink-footed goose)
Lineage: Eukaryota; Metazoa; Chordata; Aves; Anseriformes; Anatidae
Description: lncRNA (ENSABRG00000007524.1)
Source: RNAcentral